RNAcentral lists this ribosomal RNA (116 nucleotides) under Klebsiella pneumoniae. Lineage: Bacteria; Pseudomonadati; Pseudomonadota; Gammaproteobacteria; Enterobacterales; Enterobacteriaceae. The record is from RNAcentral.
ACGGGCGGCACUAGCGCGGUGGUCCCACCUGACCCCAUGCCGAACUCAGAAGUGAAACGCCGUAGCGCCGAUGGUAGUGUGGGGUCUCCCCAUGUGAGAGUAGGGAACUGCCAGGC